GAGAGCAGCUCUGGUGAUUUUAUAGACAUGGCUGCGUUUCCCUGUUCAGCAGAUUAAGCCCCACGUGGGUGUACCUUUAAAUAAUCGGUGUCCGUGGGCCAGCUCCAGAAAUCUGUCACCUCGGAUUUUGCUCGAGUUUUUAGCUUGCACAUCUGUCUUAAAACAAUAGUCGGAAGCCCAUGCAAACGUCGACUCCCCCUGUUCCCGCUGGCCUUUAAGAUAUUCCUUCCUGACGCACUUUCAAAGUAAGGGAUGGUGGACGCAAUCCACAGUCGUCCUGUUGAGAAAACGGUGUGGGUUUGGUGGGAUCUAAUAUGAGGCGUCUGCAGUCGGAGCUACACCAAUCAAAUGGAAGUAAUAUUAAUGAACACAUCAUAGCCAGGAUGCCUGUUAGGCUUCAAGCUAAUCCCGUUUCUCAGUGUGCCCACUGUUCCUCGCAGAGUGGGGUCCCGUCAGUUUAUUUACCAACUGCCAUCGGCUAAAAGGAAAGGACAGACGCUUCAAGGGUCCCCAGUCAGCUAAAAGAGAGAUGUGGCCCCAGAGUCUGAGGCGGCUGGUUGGUCAGCUGGAAGAUAUGAAGACGGGAAUGAAGAUGGAUUCCGCUACUGACUCAUGUCAGCGUCAGUGUUGCACUGCAGCUUCUGUCAUUACCUGAGAGCUUCUACCUUCUGAUAAGACGACAAAAUACAGAAAUUGCCAAACAUGCAUCACACCAAAUAAGAAAAUAUUUAAUGUAUAUGGGCUACGUGUUAACAAAUGUGUGUGUAUAUAAUUUUUGUUUGACAAAAAGUCAUUGUUACACCUCUUAGGAACAAACUGUUAUAAAUCUCCAACAACAGUUUUGUCUGCCAGUCGUGUUUUCAGCCUUUGUAUUGCAAUGUGAUGCAAGACGGCAGCUGUGCUUUCAAAAACAGUAACAGGCUUGUUUGUAUCAAGCUUGUUUGUAUCAGGCUCGCUUGUAUCAGGCGGGCUUUGAUUGUGUUUGUAGUUAGCAGCGAUUCAUCUGUGUGAGAUUAUGAAGGAUUUUCCGGUUUUGCCGCUGGUUUUGUUUAAUUUGUGCUCAGAGACGUGCUGUGAAGGAACUUUUAA
Long non-coding RNA from Xiphias gladius (swordfish), 1089 nucleotides. RefSeq lists it as uncharacterized. The record is from RefSeq and is a predicted model, not a curated record. NCBI's taxonomy places the organism in Eukaryota, Metazoa, Chordata, Actinopteri, Istiophoriformes, Xiphiidae. The transcript is spliced from 3 exons.